UUCCUUCAAGCUAGGCUGGUAAAGCAUCUGCCUGCAAUGCGGGAGACCUGGGUUCGAUUCCUGGGUUGGGAA
Molecule: transfer RNA, 72 nt
Filed under: Ovis aries (sheep)
Lineage: Eukaryota; Metazoa; Chordata; Mammalia; Artiodactyla; Bovidae
Rfam family: tRNA
About the family: Transfer RNA (tRNA) molecules are approximately 80 nucleotides in length. Their secondary structure includes four short double-helical elements and three loops (D, anti-codon, and T loops).
Source: Rfam by way of RNAcentral